This is a long non-coding RNA of Salarias fasciatus (jewelled blenny), 202 nucleotides long. RefSeq lists it as uncharacterized. Lineage: Eukaryota; Metazoa; Chordata; Actinopteri; Blenniiformes; Blenniidae. The transcript has 3 exons. The record is from RefSeq and is a predicted model, not a curated record.
CUGUGGACAACAAUGAGUCUGAAGAUAGAAAAUAUAUGCAGGAAUGUCCUGUCUGCACUGAGAUCUUCCCUACUGACUUCAUUGAGGUGCACGCUGCUUCAUGUGUGGAAAGGGCAGGAGAAGAGGUGACCCAAGAAAGCAGUGCAAUUGAAGAAGACCAAACAGCAAUGCCUGGGCCAUCCGGAGCUCACGCUACUGUUAC